AGUGAACGCUGGCGGUAGGCCUAACACAUGCAAGUCGAACGGCAGCACAGUAAGAGCUUGCUCUUACGGGUGGCGAGUGGCGGACGGGUGAGGAAUACAUCGGAAUCUACUUUUUCGUGGGGGAUAACGUAGGGAAACUUACGCUAAUACCGCAUACGACCUACGGGUGAAAGCAGGGGAUCUUCGGACCUUGCGCGAUUGAAUGAGCCGAUGUCGGAUUAGCUAGUUGGCGGGGUAAAGGCCCACCAAGGCGACGAUCCGUAGCUGGUCUGAGAGGAUGAUCAGCCACACUGGAACUGAGACACGGUCCAGACUCCUACGGGAGGCAGAAGUGGGGAAUAUGGGACAAUGGGCGCAAGCCUGAUCCAGCCAUACCGCGUGGGUGAAGAAGGCCUUCGGGUUGUAAAGCCCUUUUGUUGGGAAAGAAAAGCAGCAGGUUAAUACCCCGCUGUUCUGACGGUACCCAAAGAAUAAGCACCGGCUAACUUCGUG
Molecule: ribosomal RNA, 492 nt
Filed under: uncultured bacterium
Lineage: Bacteria
Description: partial 16S ribosomal RNA
Rfam family: Bacterial small subunit ribosomal RNA
Source: RNAcentral